GGGGAUGUAGCUCAGUUGGUAGGGUGCUUGCCUUGCAUGCACAAGGCCUUGGGUUCAAUCCCAGUACCACUA
This 72-nucleotide transfer RNA is filed under the name Ictidomys tridecemlineatus (thirteen-lined ground squirrel). Its description in RNAcentral is "Spermophilus tridecemlineatus (thirteen-lined ground squirrel) tRNA". It matches the Rfam family "tRNA". Rfam says of the family: Transfer RNA (tRNA) molecules are approximately 80 nucleotides in length. Their secondary structure includes four short double-helical elements and three loops (D, anti-codon, and T loops). Further hydrogen bonds mediate the characteristic L-shaped molecular structure. tRNAs have two regions of fundamental functional importance: the anti-codon, which is responsible for specific mRNA codon recognition, and the 3' end, to which the tRNAs corresponding amino acid is attached (by aminoacyl-tRNA synthetases). tRNAs cope with the degeneracy of the genetic code in two manners: having more than one tRNA (with a specific anti-codon) for a particular amino acid; and 'wobble' base-pairing, i.e. permitting non-standard base-pairing at the 3rd anti-codon position. Lineage: Eukaryota; Metazoa; Chordata; Mammalia; Rodentia; Sciuridae. The record is from Rfam by way of RNAcentral.